GGGCUACACCCGUGGCAUAUGGAGGUUCCUAGGCUAGGAGUCUAAUCGGAGCUCAUGGCAAUGCCGGAUCCUUAAUCCAUUGAGCGAGGCCAGGGAUGGAACCUGCAACCUCAUGGUUCCCUAGUCGGAUUCAUUAACCAUCGAGCCAUGACGGGAACUCCAGUUUCCCUCUUUUCUAUGGCAUCAAUGCCUAACUCUCUUUUCCGAGAGGGAUUAAAACAUGGUAGAGCUUGAACCGCAACAACAAUUUUGAAAAUAGUAAGAAUGCAAUACAGUAAUACUACUACUUACUUUGGUCUCUGUGAAAAGGCUUAGAACUCUCAAAAUCAACCAAUGAGGUUGAUGCACCUUUUUCUCAAGGUAACGAUGCCAGAGAUAGAAGGACAUCCGACACCAAGUGGGCCUCUUCUCUCAUUUGACAGAUAAAAAGUAGGGUGAUUUGAGUAAUUCCAUCCAUUGUGCGAGUGGCAGAGCGGAAACCUGGAAUUAACAUCUCCUAGCCCUUAGGCCCACAACCAUUAGGAUUACAUUUAACCUGUAUUUUCUGAAACUCCCCAUAAUGAUUUUGAUGGGCAGUCAGUGUUGAAAACCGCUGCGGCUUAGAGAGGAAUGUAAGCUCCCCUGGCACCGUGGUGAAGUCACUAGAUCCCUAUCACCUGUAAUGGGUUUUCAACUCUGAUGUGCCUCUUUUGAACAUAUGCUCAAGAACGCAAUCUCCACUGUAACUACGCACACAAGCCCUCUUAACUUUUGUAUUUUUUUCCUUUACUCUGAUCACUUCAAACUCAGAUACAGGUAGCCUAUCAUUCCAGACCACCAUGCUGGGGGGAAAAUUAUUGGAUUUCUACCAUCUUUAGGGAAGACAAAGUUUUCAUAUUCCUUUCCUGGAAGAUAUUCAACCAUUCAAAUCACCAGAAAGACCAGAUAUGACAACAGAAAAGAUGGAUGGAAAUGAACUCUAGCAGCUUCUCCUCCUUGAUUAGGUACCAAAGUAAAUCCAGGAACCCAUUAUAAAGGCACUGCCUUCCGGGACCAACCAUGCCUUUCAGGACCUUAUACUGUUGCUGGAAAACAAAUUAAAUUGCACCAGACUCAUUAAAAGGAGAAGAUUUAGAUCCUUUCUGUUGAGAGAGCAACUUAAGCUUAAACAGAAUAAAAUAUAAAUUUCAGGAUUAGGAGUACAAAAGUCAAAUUUUACGAUCAAGUAGAGUAGCCCCCUCCUUAGAUCCUAGAGUCAAGUUCCUGAAACCCUCAUUCCAGGGGAAUGUGUGUUGGAGGAAUUGAAGAGUUUAGGGGGAAACUGGGGCAGGGCAGGGAAUAAUUAUGAAAGCUCAGGCAAUUGGUUAGUCCACUGAAAUAAAACACUACGUCAAGUGACUUCGGGUGGCAUUUUACUAAUUUUACAUUAGUCAUAGUGAUGACAGGGCAAUUAAUUUCUAUUUCUCUCUGAUCUCAAAGUGAGGAACAUCAUGCAUCAGUGAAAAUGCUGAUCAUCACAGCAGUGACAGGGUUUUGUCUGGAUCUGAGUAAACUCAGUGUCCUGCUUCACUCUCAUUCUUGGGCACACGGAUCAUCACUCAUCAUCAGAGCUGCCAGAGUCUGAAUCCCCAGGUUCAAGCAUCAGUGUGAGGCCCUUGUGCCUGCUUUUUUGGGCAAGGGCUUGAGUGACACAGCCCGGUGGUACAGCCUCUUCUCCCUGUUGAGGCAAGCAGAGAAAACACUUACUGGCCUUUGUUUGGAGGUUUCUUAUUAUUGCUUUAUAAGGUUGUGAGUAAUCAUUUGAGCCUUGCCUGUAGGUCAAUAAAUAUUCCAGCGAAGGAUCUCUUUCCUGUGAAUCACCAUGACAACUUGAUUUGCGGAGUGGGUGCUUCCACAUUCUUUGAGUUCUAGAAGGUAAUCUACGCUGACAUCUUUCAUCAACUUUUGAUGGGAUCCCAUCUCUGAAAUAUUUCUCAACCAUCUUCUGAGGGUGAGAAUCUAACAGUUCAGCAACGUCACUUAAUUCACUGUCUUCGAAUCCGUCACCACCCGUAUGUUCUGCAGAUGCUACCAAAUUUUCAAUUUCUUCAGGCACUGGAAGGAAAGCUUCAGAAUCACUUACAACUUCAUUCCAAAGUUGCUGCCAGUCUCCGUUAAGGGUUGAUCAUUUUCUCUCUCUCACUGAUUCUCCUACUAGUAUCAAAGUGUUACAAAUGGAGAAAUUUUACCAAGCUAUUUCCACGGUAAUUUCUGGUGUCUCUCUCGUAAGAUUUGCCAGGUAGUCAAUCAAAUACACUCCCAGGUGCAAGGGUGGAAAGAGUGGAGAUGUACUGGGGGGAAUACAGCUGCCUUUAAUACAAGGAUCAUGCUUUUGUCAGUGGGAGCCGUGUCCAGAAUCAGUUACACCUCGAAUUCAAGAUGUUUUGGGUUUAAAUACUGUUUAACCUCAGGAACAAAACACUUCAAAAGCCAGUCCAACAGGAAUUUCUCAGUGAUCCAUAUUUUAUGGUUUCCCUUCAUGUACACAGAAAAGUGUUUCUGGCAAUUUCUUUUAAGAGGGCAAGAAAUGUGGAAUCUGUGAAGCAACAGCGGUUUAAUCAGAAAGUCACCAGAAGCACUGGAACAAAGCAGAACUUUGAGCUUAUCUUUUCCAGGCUCGAAGCCUCAGGUCUUUUUCUCAUCCUUCGCAAUAAAUGUGCAAGUAGCCAUGCGCUUCUAGAACAGGACUGUUUCAUCAGCACUGAAGACCUGUUCAGGCAAAUAGCGAUUUUUCUCCAUCAGUUUCUUCGGGUAUCCAGGACAGUCCGCGGCAGCUUCACGGUCGGCUUCCUCUGCCAGCCACUUCUUUUCAUACACACCCUGGUGUUUCUUAAACCUGUCCAACCACGCGUUACUCACGAUGAAUGUUACAAUUUUCCAUCCCGAUCAAAAUUUAAAUUUGCAUUUUUUGCUAGGCUCGCUGGCAGAUGAGGCAAAGAGGCCCAUUCAGCCUUCUCUGUUUUAGAAGCCACAAACACAAAUCUCUUUUCAUUUUCUCUAUUUUGGCAUUUGGAGUUAUGUAUGAUUUUUCUCAAUGAUUCUAGUGUGCCCCUUGGCACACUGACCCUAAUAGCUUUCUUAUUUUUCUUGACUGACUCAUUAAUACCAAAAUAAAUGCCCCGCAGAGGUCUUGGUUUCCCCAUUAGCAAGCAUUUCAGGACCCCUCAUUCUGUUUGCUAGAGACACCACCUUUCUUGUCCUCUCCUCUUCUCUUGCAUUUCUAUCAUCUACCUUCUUGGUUCUUUUCUUUGCUUGGAUGAUAUUCUUACCCAACUUAUACAGACUUACAGUUAUUGAAAGUUUUAUAUCACUGACAAAUACACAACGCUAAUUUCUACUGUAUAAGAAGCAAAUGCCAACAUUCACAGGACAAAUAACAAGGGCAAAAAUUGUUUUGUAUGACUACUCAUGCGCAGAGGGAACGAUAGGCAGAAAAACCAGAUAGCGAGAAAACAUGAGGGUAACUUGAAUUUGCAUACUGUUCCCAAACUCUCAAAGGUGCACACUAGGUAAACCCAAAUUUCUUUUGAGAAUGACUUGCAGUUUUGAAGGGCUCACAGAACUCAGGAGUCAAGGGCAGGCUGCCAGGCUGAGAAGA
RNAcentral lists this long non-coding RNA (3616 nucleotides) under Sus scrofa (pig). RNAcentral describes it as "lncRNA (ENSSSCG00060001394.1)". The record is from RNAcentral. Lineage: Eukaryota; Metazoa; Chordata; Mammalia; Artiodactyla; Suidae.